UACGAAGGGGGGCUAGCGUUGCUCGGAAUCACUGGGCGUAAAGCGCACGUAGGCGGAUUUCUAAGUCAGGGGGUGAAAAUCCUGGAGCUCAACUCCAGAACUGCCUUUGAUACUGGGAAUCUCGAGUCCGGGAGAGGUGAGUGGAACUGCGAGUGUAGAGGUGAAAUUCGUAGAUAUUCGCAAGAACACCAGUGGCGAAAGGCGGCUCACUGGCCCGGUACUGACGCUGAGGUGCGAAAGCGUGGGGAGCAAACAGG
Molecule: ribosomal RNA, 257 nt
Filed under: uncultured bacterium
Lineage: Bacteria
Description: partial 16S ribosomal RNA
Rfam family: Bacterial small subunit ribosomal RNA
Source: RNAcentral